UACGAAGGGGGCUAGCGUUGCUCGGAAUUACUGGGCGUAAAGCGCACGUAGGCGGCUUUCUAAGUCGGGGGUGAAAUCCUGGAGCUCAACUCCAGAACUGCCUUCGAUACUGGAGAGCUCGAGUCCGGGAGAGGUGAGUGGAACUGCGAGUGUAGAGGUGAAAUGCGCAGAUAUCGGGAGGAACACCCGUAGCGAAGGCGGCACUCUGGGCCGGAACUGACGCUGAGGAGCGAAAGCGUGGGGAGCGAACAGG
Molecule: ribosomal RNA, 253 nt
Filed under: uncultured bacterium
Lineage: Bacteria
Description: partial 16S ribosomal RNA
Rfam family: Bacterial small subunit ribosomal RNA
Source: RNAcentral